RNA transcript from Amborella trichopoda, 1525 nucleotides. It is a transcript of the gene named RNA-binding (RRM/RBD/RNP motifs) family protein, with no coding region annotated. Lineage: Eukaryota; Viridiplantae; Streptophyta; Magnoliopsida; Amborellales; Amborellaceae. The record is from RefSeq and is a predicted model, not a curated record.
GAAGCUCUCGCGCACUAAAAUUUUUCUCUCUAAGAUUUCAUGGAGCCUCAUCAACAGCAGCAGCAGCAGCCAUGGAUGGCUCUGCAAUCGCAUCAAGCUCAACAUUCAGCAUCGUCAUGGAGUUCUUCUCAUUCUCAAAGCUAUCAUCAGCCGACCAGUGUAGAAGAGAUACGAACCCUUUGGAUUGGGGAUUUGCAGUAUUGGGUCGAUGAGAAUUAUCUCCACACUUGUUUCUCCCACACAGGAGAGGUGAUUUCUAUAAAAAUUAUACGGAACAAGAUCACUGGUCAGCCAGAAGGUUACGGUUUUGUGGAGUUUGUUUCCCAUGCAGCAGCUGAAAGGAUUUUGCAAACAUAUAACGGAACACCGAUGCCUGGAACUGAGCAAUGUUUUAGGAUGAAUUGGGCUUCUUUUGGCAUAGGUGAAAGGCGCCCAGAUGCUGGACCUGAGCAUUCCAUCUUUGUUGGGGAUCUGGCUCCUGAUGUUACUGACUAUUUAUUGCAAGAGACCUUCCGUGCUCAAUACCCAUCUGUAAGAGGAGCCAAGGUUGUGACUGAUCCAAACACAGGGCGCUCAAAGGGUUAUGGAUUUGUUAAAUUUUCUGAUGAGAAUGAAAGAAAUCGUGCCAUGACAGAGAUGAAUGGUGUCUAUUGCUCAACCCGACCCAUGCGCAUAAGUGCAGCCACUCCAAAGAAAUCUACUGGUAUACAGCAGCAGUAUGCAACACCUAAAGCGGCUGCCUAUCAAGUACCAACUUACACCACUCCUCCUGUCCAAGCAUUUCCUACUGAUAAUGACAUCACUAAUACUACACAGAUAUUUGUUGGUGGUUUGGACCCUAAUGUUACAGAAGAUGAGCUGAAGCAGAUCUUUGGACAAUUUGGGGAGCUUGUCUAUGUUAAGAUACCGAUGGGUAGGGGAUGUGGAUUUGUCCAGUUCAGCAAUAGGGCCUCUGCCGAAGAAGCAUUGCAAAGGAUUCAUGGAACUGUAAUUGGUCAACAGACAGUCCGCCUUUCAUGGGGACGGAGCGUUGCAAACAAAUUGGACCAACCUGGUGUGUGGGGCCAACAAGCUGAUCCAAACCAGUGGGCUGGAGCUUAUUAUGGUUAUGGGCAAGGAUAUGAUGCUUAUACCUAUGGAGCUACUCAAGAUCCCUCUUUAUAUGCCUAUGGUGCUUAUGCUGGAUAUGGGAACUACCCACAACAGGCAAGAAGCUGAAGGUGCUCAAGAUAUGGUUUCAAUGGUUGGUGUCAUCCCAAAUGUUGAACAAAAGGAGGAAGUUUUCGAUCCUCUUGCCCCACCAGACAUUGAUAAGAUGAACUCAGCUUACCUUGCUGUACAUGGGAGUGCCAUGGUAGGACGGCCGCUGUGGUUGAAAGCCAUGCCACAACAGUCGGCAUGAACUUAAAUCAAACCUAAUCAUUUCAUCCCGCUUUCUUUUUUUCUAUUUUUUGUUUUGUUAUAUUAAGUAUAAGUUUGGAUUAAUUAUUCUAUGGUGAAAUAUCUUGAGAUGUGUGUUUGAAGA